Molecule: non-coding RNA, 280 nt
Organism: Pelobates cultripes (western spadefoot toad)
Lineage: Eukaryota; Metazoa; Chordata; Amphibia; Anura; Pelobatidae
Source: the annotation of a GenBank genome assembly
GUGCAGUUAAGAACAUUCCAUGCAUUGGUGGUUACAACAUUACAGCAUUUAAUCAUUGUUUGUCACAUUGUGUCUACCCUACCAUAUGUAUAUAAGGCACUCAUGGCCUUCUGUUAUAGUUCUCACAUGCUGUGAAGUUUUCUCAUAACUACAACUAACAAACUCAACAAUAGGGAUGGGGGGGAGGAACGGGUGGGAAAGUGAGCCAUGCCGUGCCAUGGGGGGGUCUAUUAUUUCUUCUUUGUUGGACGCUUUCCCCUAGUUUAUUGCCAGAGUAAAU